UAGAAUGAGUACAUUACCUUGUUUUAACACAUCCAACGCGGAUCGUAUUUAUGAAUUUAUAUUUAAAUUAAACUUAGUGGGCCUAGAUUUUUUGUAAGCACCUGCCCACGCUUUCCGGCAAAGUGGUUAAAUAUUUAUACUAUGUCUACGUCGAAAAAAUCAAAUAUAUUGCGCUGACAUCCUCUAAAUGUUUCGUCUUUUUUCUUUGUAGAACGAACCAAAAAGUACAAACGAAGGUGAACAAUAUCACCACCAUUAAUUUUAACGGGGCGGUGCAGACCGUGCACCUCGCCCCUGUUGCGCCUGUGGCACCGCCGGCCGAGACCGCCACCGCCGCGCGCCAUCCGCCGACGACGCGAAAGGCGCCCAAACGUCGAUGUUAUAGGUGCAACCGUACCGGCCACGCCAUCCGGCAAUGCCUCGCCCCCAGAACAACAAGGAGGAAGCCGUGGACACCAGCCGUAGGACGUGGGGGUUCGUCGUCGACGUCCAUGACGGUGAGGCCGCCGCGGAGUCUGUGUGCAAAGUCGAGGAUAGGCACACCGACUCCCGAA
This is a long non-coding RNA of Acyrthosiphon pisum (pea aphid), 554 nucleotides long. RefSeq lists it as uncharacterized. Lineage: Eukaryota; Metazoa; Arthropoda; Insecta; Hemiptera; Aphididae. The transcript is spliced from 3 exons. The record is from RefSeq and is a predicted model, not a curated record.